This is a microRNA precursor of Nomascus leucogenys (northern white-cheeked gibbon), 65 nucleotides long. It matches the Rfam family "mir-362 microRNA precursor family". NCBI's taxonomy places the organism in Eukaryota, Metazoa, Chordata, Mammalia, Primates, Hylobatidae. The record is from Rfam.
CUCGAAUCCUUGGAACCUAGGUGUGAGUGCUAUUUCGGUGCAACACACCUAUUCAAGGAUUCAAA